ACUCCUACGGGAGGCAGCAGUGGGGAAUAUUGCACAAUGGGGGAACCCGUAGCUGNAGCCAUGCCGCGUGUGUGAAGAAGGCCCUCGGGUUGUAAAGCACUUUCAGUAGGGAGGAAGGUAGUGUAGUUAACACCUGCAUUAUUUGACGUUACCUACAGAGAAGCACCGGCUAACUCCGUGCCAGCAGCCGCGGUAAUACGGAGGGUGCGAGCGUUAAUCGGAAUUACUGGGCGUAAAGCGCAUGCAGGUGGUUUGUUAAGUCAGAUGUGAAAGCCCGGGGCUCAAGCCUCGGAAUAGCAUUUGAAACUGGCAGACUAGAGUACUGUAGAGGGGNGGUAGAAUUUCAGGUGUAGCGGUGAAAUGCGUAGAGAUCUGAAGGAAUACCGGUGGCGAAGGCGGCCCNGCCUGACAGAUACUGACACUCAGAUGCGAAAGCGUGGGGAGCAAA
RNAcentral lists this ribosomal RNA (448 nucleotides) under uncultured bacterium. Its description in RNAcentral is "bacterial SSU rRNA". It matches the Rfam family "Bacterial small subunit ribosomal RNA", at positions 335 to 772 of the family's 1533-position model. The record is from RNAcentral.